GAUGAACGCUGGCGGCGUGCCUAAUACAUGCAAGUCGAGCGAACGGACGAGAAGCUUGCUUCUCUGAUGUUAGCGGCGGACGGGUGAGUAACGCGUGGAUAACCUACCUAUAAGACUGGGAUAACUUCGGGAAACCGGAGCUAAUACCGGAUAAUAUUUUGAACCGCAUGGUUCAAAAGUGAAAGACGGUCUUGCUGUCACUUAUAGAUGGAUCCGCGCUGCAUUAGCUAGUUGGUAAGGUACCGGCUUACCAAGGCAACGAUGCAUAGCCGACCUGAGAGGGUGAUCGGCCACACUGGAACUGAGACACGGUCCAGACUCCUACGGGAGGCAGCAGUAGGGAAUCUUCCGCAAUGGGCGAAAGCCUGACGGAGCAACGCCGCGUGAGUGAUGAAGGUCUUCGGAUCGUAAAACUCUGUUAUUAGGGAAGAACAUAUGUGUAAGUAACUGUGCACAUCUUGACGGUACCUAAUCAGAAAGCCACGGCUAACUACGUG
Molecule: ribosomal RNA, 497 nt
Filed under: uncultured bacterium
Lineage: Bacteria
Description: partial 16S ribosomal RNA
Rfam family: Bacterial small subunit ribosomal RNA
Source: RNAcentral